GUAGAAUGCCUUUUUUUUUUAUUUUAUUUAUAUUCCUCUCCUCAUCCUCCUCUUUAUUCUUCUUCUUGUUCUUUCCCCUCUUUUCAACAUUUUGCUAGAAUGGAUUCAAAAUUAUCGACGAGACGUUGACAUUGAAUCGCGAGCCGUUUACUUUGUUUAUUUUUGUUCAUUGUUCGGAAAGUAAUUAUCUCGAUUAAGGUAACUAACUCCCUGACCAUUUUACACCCCUUUCAUGUUGUUUUGUUUAUUUCGUACUGUUUGCUAGACGCGUGUUAUAUAUAUAUAUAUAUAUAUAUAUAUAUAUAUAUAUAUAUAUAGAUAUGUGUGUGUGUGUGUGUAAACAUACAGGUUGCAGUGUAUAUAUAUAUAUCGUAUAAAAACGUGUAUAUUCAUGGAUGGGGAAAAGGGGUGGCUUAUUCUGCUCCCUUGGGACGUUUCGUAUAACUGUUUCCACCUGAAUUUCUCGUUACCUUUUGUAAAAAUCAAAAACAAAAAGCAUGCAUUAGAUUGUUUACCGAUUGUUGGGCAAAUAAAGCCGAUCAUUUUUGUUUUUUCUACAUUCUAUUAAAACGAUUUCCCAGGCAUUAUUAUAAUAAUCAUUAUAAUUAUAUAUUAUUAUUAUUAUUAUUAUUAGCAUACAGUACUAAUGCUACUGUCGUUAUUUUGAUAAAUUUUUUUUUACCUCUUUUAUUGCUAAUGUUGACAUUGAUAUCAGAACCGAAACCAAAACAGAUAUCUGUAUAAUAUGUAACUGGAGUCCACUCGAACAGUUAUAGUAGCGAUCGAGCAACAAAGAGGACAGGGAAAAAAAACUGCUGUCACACACGCAUACACACACUAGUGUGAUGAAGACCAGGAAAAAAAUAUAUUAAGUUCACAUACUGCGAUGUGAAAGCUGCCAUAAGAACUGUGAAAGAAGGGCGGCAACAGUAGGGGAAGGGAAAGUCGAGUUUAUAUACAACAUGGUCUGAGUGCUAGAACGAGUGAAUGGUGUGUGCAUCUCAUCACACGCGCACAUACACACACUUCACACAACUCAUGCACACACAUCUGAUGAAAGACACACACUUGUAACUGCCACCACACUUGUGGUUUUGUUAUUGUUUCUGAUAUCUAGACAGGUUUCUGUCUAGUUCAUCUCGCACGGAAGGGGCUCUAGAAGUAACGGCGAAAUAUAUUUUACUCCAGUUUGUGCUGUUGAGGAAUGGUAAUGGGCCUGCCUUCAUCACCCAUUCCACUUUAUCAUAUCUUAUUUCUUCCGCUUUAAGCGCCUUAAUUUAUAUAUCUUUCUACUGUCUGUCUUUCUCAGACUGAACAGCACUGGAUACACUACCGAUCUACACCUACACUUACAUCCAAACUUAAAUUUCUCCGUUGUCAGUACAGGACAACAGUCGGUCUGUCCGUUUAGUUAACUCUUGUCCCGAACUUCGGUUUAUUUAUACUCAACACAGGACAGCAACACACACACACACUAAUAUAUAUAUAUAUAUAUAGUGUGUGUGUGUGUGUGGAGUUGGUGAUGCUAACUGGAAAAUUGAACUCAAAACAUGAGUAUAUAUAUAUUUUGCAAAUUCACUACGAAAUUUAAACCUAAGUUCUUGAUUUUUUCUGAUGUGCCACAUUUAAACCCAAAAUUUUGAUCGAUACAUUUUCUAGAUUAAAAAAAGUCUAUUGGGUAAGCUGAAAAUAAAAUAUCUUGAUUUAUUUUAGUGAUGAUCCGGUAUUCAGCAUCUGUAAAAAAAAAAUAAAUAAAUAAAACAACAACAACGAAAAGGCAAAGGAAAACCACUCAGAAAAUGAACUCAAGUUAACAAGCAAGAAACCCUCGUAUUUAAACUCUUGUCCCUUGUGUCCAAUUAUUUUUACAGCAGUGACAACAUGGAAAGAUAGUUAUAUUGGGGGGAAAGAAAUGGGAUGCUAUAACUUCAUUUCUUUUUGUAAUGUUUUAGGGUCAGCGUUAAAACUCACAAGUUUCCAUAUCCUAUCACUUGUAAAAAUGCAAACUUCAUAUAAUUUCUUCAAAUUGGACUUAAGAAUAAGCAUUCAUCAUCGUGACCUCCUCGACCAUCGUCAUCGUGGCGGGGGUGAUUAGUGCAGGGAUGUGUAUUUGACGAACAAAAUCUGCGACACAGUUUUCAUAUUCAGUUCACACCGCCUUCCCGUCAUCAACUCUUAGGAAACGAUAUAAAAAGAAAGCUUCUACAUAGUUACUUGACCUGUUAGUGACAGCAUUCCUAAUCUUCCCCAGAUCCUCUUUUUACAAAAAAGUAAGGGCUCAUUGAACUAUGUUUAUCU
This 2298-nucleotide long non-coding RNA is filed under the name Octopus vulgaris (common octopus). Lineage: Eukaryota; Metazoa; Mollusca; Cephalopoda; Octopoda; Octopodidae. The record is from RNAcentral.